GAUGAACGCUGGCGGCGUGCCUAAUACAUGCCAGUCGAGCGAACGGACGAGAAGCUUGCUUCUCUGAUGUUAGCGGCGGACGGGUGAGUAACACGUGGAUAACCUACCUAUAAGACUGGGAUAACUUCGGGAAACCGGAGCUAAUACCGGAUGAUAUUUUGAACCGCAUGGUUCAAAAGUGAAAGACGGUCUUGCUGUCACUUAUAGAUGGAUCCGCGCUGCAUUAGCUAGUUGGUAAGGUAACGGCUUACCAAGGCAACGAUGCAUAGCCGACCUGAGAGGGUGAUCGGCCACACUGGAACUGAGACACGGUCCAGACUCCUACGGGAGGCAGCAGUAGGGAAUCUUCCGCAAUGGGCGAAAGCCUGACGGAGCAACGCCGCGUGAGUGAUGAAGGUCUUCGGAUCGUAAAACUCUGUUAUUAGGGAAGAACAUAUGUGUAAGUAACUGUGCAUAUCUUGACGGUACCUAAUCAGAAAGCCACGGCUAACUACGUG
Molecule: ribosomal RNA, 497 nt
Filed under: uncultured bacterium
Lineage: Bacteria
Description: partial 16S ribosomal RNA
Rfam family: Bacterial small subunit ribosomal RNA
Source: RNAcentral